Molecule: ribosomal RNA, 334 nt
Filed under: Brachistosternus quiscapata
Lineage: Eukaryota; Metazoa; Arthropoda; Arachnida; Scorpiones; Bothriuridae
Description: partial 12S small subunit ribosomal RNA
Source: RNAcentral
UAAAAAUUUAUUUAUUUUAGGUAGUAACAGAUUUCUUGAAACCUAAAGAAUUUGGCGGUAUUUUAAAUAAUUAGAGGAACCUGUUAAAUAAAUGAUAAUCCACAACAUAUCUUACCUUAAUUAAGUUUGUAUACCGUUGUUUUCAGAUUAUAUUUAAAAAUUAUAAUCAAAAUUAAUUAAUUUUCGUAAAUCAAAUCAAGGUGCAGCAUAUUUAGGUCUUAAUGGGUUACAAUAUAUUUAUAUACACGAAUUAAUUAUGAAAAUGUUUUUUGAAGGUGGAUUUAAAAGUAAUUUAAAAUUAAAAUGUUUAGAUGAAUAAAAAUUUAAAAUAUGC